UGGGGAGUAACAGCCGGAAACGGCUGCUAAUACCGAAUACGAUCUUUUCGUCGCAUGACGAAAGAAGAAAGGAUGGCCUCUAUACAAAGCUAUCGCCGAAGGAGGGGUUUUGCGUCUGAUUAGCUGGUUGGAGGGGUAACGGCCCAACAAGGCGAUGAUCAGUAGCCGGUCUGAGAGGAUGAGCGGCCACAUUGGGACUGAGACACGGCCCAGACUCCUACGGGAGGCAGCAGUGGGGAAUCUUCCGCAAUGGACGAAAGUCUGACGGAGCAACGCCGCGUGAGUGAAGAAGGUCUUCGGAUUGUAAAGCUCUGUUAUACGGGACGAAAAAGACGGAUGCCAACAGUAUCCGUCCGUGACGGUACCGUAAGAGAAAGCCACGGCUAACUACGUGCCAGCAGCCGCGGUAAAU
RNAcentral lists this ribosomal RNA (412 nucleotides) under uncultured Megasphaera sp. RNAcentral's name for it is "bacterial SSU rRNA". It matches the Rfam family "Bacterial small subunit ribosomal RNA", at positions 137 to 525 of the family's 1533-position model. Lineage: Bacteria; Bacillati; Bacillota; Negativicutes; Veillonellales; Veillonellaceae. The record is from RNAcentral.